UAAUGAUGGCGCGGUGCGGUGCGAUGUGAUAUCAAAAAAUUCGCUCUCAUUCGCCAUCAUUCUU
RNAcentral lists this microRNA precursor (64 nucleotides) under Strongylocentrotus purpuratus (purple sea urchin). RNAcentral describes it as "Spu-Mir-4847_pre stem-loop". The record is from RNAcentral. Lineage: Eukaryota; Metazoa; Echinodermata; Echinoidea; Camarodonta; Strongylocentrotidae.